This 1223-nucleotide long non-coding RNA is filed under the name Macaca mulatta (Rhesus monkey). RNAcentral describes it as "lncRNA (ENSMMUG00000055378.1)". The record is from RNAcentral. Lineage: Eukaryota; Metazoa; Chordata; Mammalia; Primates; Cercopithecidae.
AGCUGGUGGCCCGGGUGCUAAGCCCCUCACUAUCCGGGUGGCGGCGCUGGCUGUCAGCUCCGAGUGCGGGGCCCACCAAGCCCGCGCCCACCUGGAACUCACGCUGGUCCGUGAGCGCCACUCACAGCCCCAGUUCCCUCCCACACCUCUCCCUCCACACCUCCCUGCAAGCCAGCCCAGAGAGGGGGUCCCACAGUGCAGUGGCGGGCUGAAGGGAUGGAUCCUCAAGCCCCGCCAGAGUGAACGCUGAGGCUGAGGAGGCACUGAGAGCACGUGGUCACCUCUCACCAAUGUGCUACUGAACUGGACUCAGCCAAUCAGAUGCUCCCAACGGGAAGUGAGCAGAGACGAAUGGUUCAAAGCUUGGAGAGAGAAGGCGGCAGCAACACCCACCUGCAGCUGUCACACCUACCUGCAGAAUUCGCCUUAUACCUUAGAGAAAGCCUGCAGUCAGUGGCAGCUGACGGGAAACGCAUCUGUUCCUUUGAGUAUUCAGCAAUAUCAUUACUUCUCAGGUAUGUGCUGAGGGUGGAGCAAACUAGAAAUUGCUGAUGAAAUUCACUGCGUAGGCUGGGCGCAGUGGCUUAAGCCUGUAAUCCCAGCACUUUGGGAGGCCGAGACGGGCGGAUGACGAGCUCAGGAGAUCGAGACCAUCCUGGCUAACACGGUGAAACCCCGUCUCUGCUGAAAAAUACAAAAAACUAGCCAGGCGAGGUGGCGAGCGCCUGUAGUCCCAGCUACUCGGGAGGCUGAGGCAAGAGAAUGGCGGGAACCCAGGAGGCGGAGCUUGCAGUGAGCUGAGAUUGUGCCACUGCACUCCAGCCUGGGCCACAGAGCGAGACUCCGUCUCAAAAAAAAAAAAAAAAAAAAAAAAAAAAAGAAAUUCACUGCGUAGAAGCCGAGCUCAUGGGUUCUGCCACUUAUUAUCUUUGUGAUUUUGGGCAAAGUGUCUCUUAGUGCCUCUGUUUCCUCCUCUGGAAAAAGAGGUGCUGAUGAUAAUAGUACCUACUUCGUAGGGUGCUUUUGAAUGUUAAAUGGGCUAAUACCUGUGAAGCACUCUCCAUGGAACCCAGCAAGUAACAUGUGCUGAGGACGGGCUCGCCAUUGCCAUUAUAAUGUGUAUCCCUCAGUUGGCCAGUGGGGAACUUCCAGACCUUACAGCCUGGUAUGGGCUGAACUGUGUCUCCCCCUACAAAUUCUUAUAUUGAAAGCUUAAUCUCCAG